RNAcentral lists this ribosomal RNA (460 nucleotides) under uncultured bacterium. RNAcentral's name for it is "partial 16S ribosomal RNA". It matches the Rfam family "Bacterial small subunit ribosomal RNA", at positions 338 to 795 of the family's 1533-position model. The record is from RNAcentral.
CCUACGGGAGGCAGCAGUGAGGAAUAUUGGUCAAUGGGCGCGAGCCUGAACCAGCAAAGUAGCGUGAAGGAUGACUGCCCUACGGGUUGUAAACUUCUUUUAUAAAGGAGUAAAGUGAGGCACGUGUGCCUUUUUGUAUGUACUUUAUGCAUAAGGAUCGGCUAAAUCCGUGCCAGCAGCCGCGGUAAUACGGAGGAUCCGAGCGUUAUCCGGAUUUAGUGGGGUUAAAGGGAGCGUAGAUGGGUUGUUAAGUCAGUUGUGAAAGUUUGCGGCUCAACCGUAAAAUUGCAAUUGAUACUGGCAGUCUUGAGUACAGUUGAGGUAGGCGGAAUUCGUGGUGUAGCGGUGAAAUGCUUAGAUAUCACGAAGAACUCCGAUGGCGAAGGCAGCUUACUAAACUGCCACUGACAUUGAUGCGCGAAAGUGUGGGUAUCAAACAGGAUUAGAUACCCGUGUAGUC